This 299-nucleotide unclassified non-coding RNA is filed under the name Pluteus ephebeus. Its description in RNAcentral is "sequence contains 5.8S rRNA gene". The stretch from base 1 to 53 matches the Rfam family "5.8S ribosomal RNA", at positions 102 to 154 of the family's 154-position model. Lineage: Eukaryota; Fungi; Basidiomycota; Agaricomycetes; Agaricales; Pluteaceae. The record is from RNAcentral.
GAACGCACCUUGCGCUCCUUGGUAUUCCGAGGAGCAUGCCUGUUUGAGUGUCAUUAAAUCCUCAACUCCCCUUCUCCCUUGUGGAUGAAUGGGGUUGGAUGUGGUAGUUGCUGGCUCAUCGUCAGCUCUUCUCAAAUGCAUUAGCAGGGCCAUCCCAUGCAAGGCUGCAGCUUGGUAUUGAUAGUUGUCUUACCAGGCAGUGACCGAGUGAAGUGCUCAGCUUCUAGCUGUCUCAUUGUUGGGACAAUAAUCAUGACGAUUUGACCUCAAAUCAGGUAGGACUACCCGCUGAACUUAAG